GAAGGUAUAGCUUAGUGAUAGAGUGUGUGCUUAGCAUGCAAGAGGUCCUGGGUUCAAUCGCCAAUACUUCCA
Molecule: transfer RNA, 72 nt
Filed under: Camelus ferus (Wild Bactrian camel)
Lineage: Eukaryota; Metazoa; Chordata; Mammalia; Artiodactyla; Camelidae
Rfam family: tRNA
About the family: Transfer RNA (tRNA) molecules are approximately 80 nucleotides in length. Their secondary structure includes four short double-helical elements and three loops (D, anti-codon, and T loops). Further hydrogen bonds mediate the characteristic L-shaped molecular structure. tRNAs have two regions of fundamental functional importance: the anti-codon, which is responsible for specific mRNA codon recognition, and the 3' end, to which the tRNAs corresponding amino acid is attached (by aminoacyl-tRNA synthetases). tRNAs cope with the degeneracy of the genetic code in two manners: having more than one tRNA (with a specific anti-codon) for a particular amino acid; and 'wobble' base-pairing, i.e. permitting non-standard base-pairing at the 3rd anti-codon position.
Source: Rfam by way of RNAcentral